CCUACGGGCGGCAGCAGUGAGGAAUAUUGGUCAAUGGACGAGAGUCUGAACCAGCCACGUAGCGUGAAGGAUGACUGCCCUAUGGGUUGUACACUUCUUUUAUCUGGGAAUAAAAUGUUCCACGUGUGGGAUUUUGUAUGUACCAUAUGAAUAAGGAUCGGCACACUCCGUGCCAGAAGCCGCGGUAAUACGGAGGAUCCGAGCGUUAUCCGGAUUUAUUGGGUUUAACGGGAGCGGAGGUGGAUUGUUAAGUCCAUUGUGAAAGUUUGCGGCUCAACCGUAACAGUGCAUUUGAAACUGGCAGUCUUGAGUACAGUAGAGGUGGGCGGAAUUCGUGGUGUAGCGGUGAAAUGCUUAGAUAUCACGAAGAACUCCGAUUGCGAAGGCAGUUCACUGGACUGCAACUGACACUGAGGCUCGAAAGUGUGGGUAUCAAACAGGAUUAGAUACCCGAGUAGUC
RNAcentral lists this ribosomal RNA (460 nucleotides) under uncultured bacterium. Its description in RNAcentral is "partial 16S ribosomal RNA". It matches the Rfam family "Bacterial small subunit ribosomal RNA", at positions 338 to 795 of the family's 1533-position model. The record is from RNAcentral.